GAUGAACGCUGGCGGCGUGCCUAAUACAUGCAAGUCGAGCGAACAGACGAGGAGCUUGCUCCUCUGACGUUAGCGGCGGACGGGUGAGUAACACGUGGAUAACCUACCUAUAAGACUGGGAUAACUUCGGGAAACCGGAGCUAAUACCGGAUAUUAUAUUGAACCGCAUGGUUCAAUAGUGAAAGACGGUUUUGCUGUCACUUAUAGAUGGAUCCGCGCCGCAUUAGCUAGUUGGUAAGGUAACGGCUUACCAAGGCAACGAUGCGUAGCCGACCUGAGAGGGUGAUCGGCCACACUGGAACUGAGACACGGUCCAGACGCCUACGGGAGGCAGCAGUAGGGAAUCUUCCGCAAUGGGCGAAAGCCUGACGGAGCAACGCCGCGUGAGUGAUGAAGGUCUUCGGAUCGUAAAACUCUGUUAUUAGGGAAGAACAAAUGUGUAAGUAACUAUGCACGUCUUGACGGUACCUAAUCAGAAAGCCACGGCUAACUACGUG
Molecule: ribosomal RNA, 497 nt
Filed under: uncultured bacterium
Lineage: Bacteria
Description: partial 16S ribosomal RNA
Rfam family: Bacterial small subunit ribosomal RNA
Source: RNAcentral